Molecule: ribosomal RNA, 433 nt
Filed under: uncultured bacterium
Lineage: Bacteria
Description: partial 16S ribosomal RNA
Rfam family: Bacterial small subunit ribosomal RNA
Source: RNAcentral
AACGAACGCUGGCGGCAGGCCUAACACAUGCAAGUCGAGCGAGGACUUCGGUCCUAGCGGCGGACGGGUGAGUAACGCGUGGGAACGUGCCCUUUGCUUCGGAAUAGCCCUGGGAAACUGGGAGUAAUACCGGAUGAGCCCUUUGGGGGAAAGAUUUAUCGGCGAAGGAUCGGCCCGCGUUGGAUUAGGUAGUUGGUGGGGUAAUGGCCUACCAAGCCGACGAUCCAUAGCUGGUUUGAGAGGAUGAUCAGCCACACUGCGACUGAGACACGGCCCAGACUCCUACGGGAGGCAGCAGUGGGGAAUCUUAGACAAUGGGGGAAACCCUGAUCUAGCCAUGCCGCGUGAGCGAUGAAGGCCUUAGGGUUGUAAAGCUCUUUCAGCUGGGAAGAUAAUGACGGUACCAGCAGAAGAAGCCCCGGCUAACUCCGUG